Molecule: ribosomal RNA, 836 nt
Filed under: Trichocladium uniseriatum
Lineage: Eukaryota; Fungi; Ascomycota; Sordariomycetes; Sordariales; Chaetomiaceae
Description: eukaryotic LSU rRNA
Rfam family: Eukaryotic large subunit ribosomal RNA
Source: RNAcentral
AAACCAACAGGGAUUGCCCUAGUAACGGCGAGUGAAGCGGCAACAGCUCAAAUUUGAAAUCCGGCUUCGGCCCGAGUUGUAAUUUGUAGAGGAUGCUUUGGGCGCGGCGCCAACUGAGUUCCCUGGAACGGGACGCCACAGAGGGUGAGAGCCCCGUAUAGUUGGAUGCCUAGCCUAUGUAAAGCUCCUUCGACGAGUCGAGUAGUUUGGGAAUGCUGCUCAAAAUGGGAGGUAAAUUUCUUCUAAAGCUAAAUACCGGCCAGAGACCGAUAGCGCACAAGUAGAGUGAUCGAAAGAUGAAAAGCACUUUGAAAAGAGGGUUAAAUAGCACGUGAAAUUGUUGAAAGGGAAGCGCUUGUGACCAGACUUGCGCCGGGCAGAUCAUCCGGUGUUCUCACCGGUGCACUCUGCCCGGCUCAGGCCAGCAUCGGUUCUCGUGGGGGGAUAAAGGUCUCGGGAACGUAGCUCUUCCGGGAGUGUUAUAGCCCGGGGCGUAAUGCCCUCGCGGGGACCGAGGUUCGCGCAUCUGCAAGGAUGCUGGCGUAAUGGUCAUCAGCGACCCGUCUUGAAACACGGACCAAGGAGUCAAGGUUUUGCGCGAGUGUUUGGGUGUAAAACCCGCACGCGUAAUGAAAGUGAACGUAGGUGAGAGCUUCGGCGCAUCAUCGACCGAUCCUGAUGUAUUCGGAUGGAUUUGAGUAAGAGCGUUAAGCCUUGGACCCGAAAGAUGGUGAACUAUGCUUGGAUAGGGUGAAGCCAGAGGAAACUCUGGUGGAGGCUCGCAGCGGUUCUGACGUGCAAAUCGAUCGUCAAAUCUGAGCAUGGGGGCGAAAGAC